CUCGUGAGGUGCGGGAAUUGUAGAGCGUUAAGGCCGCACGGCUCUAGUUUGUUCGGGUGUAACGAAACUAGGCCCGUGACACAUGGCUGUCAUGUGGCUUCACUUUCUGCUGGAAAUUAUGGAGUUCCUGUUGUGGUGGACGGUUUCUUCUAUGGUCGAGCCAGUGGAAUGGCUCCAAUGCACGGUCUAGUACUUAAUCCGUUGUAAUCUUAAAACUCGGAGAUUAUUCACUGGGCUGACUUGACCAAUAACAUCAUUUAUCACUUAAAUGAAAGAAUCCUAACAUUGUUACUGGGAGUUAUUUCGUAUAAAUGAAAGGGGGAAACAAGGAGAAUUCCGCGUAAAAUCCGAACAUAGCUGUGGGAUUUGCCUCCUACAGUUUAUAUCCUGCCGCCCCUUUUCUGGCCUUGUUGAUCCCAUCUGUGCCUCGGUUCCAGGACUCAUCUUUUCUUCAGGUAAAGUCCUAUAACCUUUCCAUGCUUUGAUCGCCGUAGGAGGUCUAAUUCACUUACGAUGCAGGAUACAAAGACUGAGUUUCUUGUGCUCACUUUCAAGCUCUGAUCCAGCAAAAAUCAGAACUGUCACGGGAGGAUCAUGUCAACUUUUAGCAACCCGACUGACCUGAACCUGCCCUUGGUAACAAUAUCUGUGCUAUCUGGCUCACGAUUUGUACACAGGAUUUCAAGACUUAUCCAUGUGCAGUGCUCCAACCAAAGGGAGUGAGUGUUACAGUAAAUCCACUGCAGUACUAUUGCUCCAGAAGGAAACCAGAAUUUGGAGAUUACUAACUGUAAUACAAGUACUUGAUAACUUCAGUUUCAGUGGAAUUGUUCUGACAGGGAGUCUAAAUCACAUUGUGAGGAAAUACCACAAAACUGGACCCGGCCUAGUUGACACCAAUGGUUCAGUGAAAUCAUGGAAAGUGUUAACAGUAUAGAAAUACACUGUAGAUUUGCAACUUAAAAAGCUAAGGAAAAAUUCAGUGGCGCAUGAAAUUCUAAUUAUAUGUUAAUUCAAUCAGUGAAAGUUAAAAGGACCCUUUAACAUGUCAA
Long non-coding RNA from Olea europaea var. sylvestris, 1052 nucleotides. RefSeq lists it as uncharacterized. Lineage: Eukaryota; Viridiplantae; Streptophyta; Magnoliopsida; Lamiales; Oleaceae. The record is from RefSeq and is a predicted model, not a curated record. The transcript is spliced from 2 exons.